UACGUAGGUGGCGAGCGUUAUCCGGAAUUAUUGGGCGUAAAGCGCGCGCAGGUGGUUUCUUAAGUCUGAUGUGAAAGCCCACGGCUCAACCGUGGAGGGUCAUUGGAAACUGGGAGACUUGAGUGCAGGAGAGGAAAGUGGAAUUCCAAGUGUAGCGGUGAAAUGCGUAGAGAUUUGGAGGAACACCAGUGGCGAAGGCGACUUUCUGGCCUGUAACUGACACUGAGGCGCGAAAGCGUGGGGAGCAAACAGG
Molecule: ribosomal RNA, 253 nt
Filed under: uncultured bacterium
Lineage: Bacteria
Description: partial 16S ribosomal RNA
Rfam family: Bacterial small subunit ribosomal RNA
Source: RNAcentral